RNAcentral lists this long non-coding RNA (208 nucleotides) under Gossypium raimondii (Peruvian cotton). RNAcentral's name for it is "long non-coding RNA (GRAI_LNC004552)". The record is from RNAcentral. Lineage: Eukaryota; Viridiplantae; Streptophyta; Magnoliopsida; Malvales; Malvaceae.
UUGUAAGUUAGAAAAUUAAUUAAUGAUAGUUUCUUCUUCUUAUUCUUCUUCUUCUUCUUUUUUCUUUUUUUCUUUUUGUCAUCUUAUCUUUUUCUUCUUUUUCGUUUGAUUAUUUUGUUAAUCAAAAGUGGUGAGGGAAUACAGGAUUAAUGGGAAUUAUGUUGUUAGUCACUGGUCAGAAGGUUGUUGGUAAGUAACUGUCAAUGUG